AACGAACGCUGGCGGCAGGCCUAACACAUGCAAGUCGAACGAGAUCUUCGGAUCUAGCGGCGGACGGGUUAGUAACGCGUGGGAACGUACCUUUCGGUAAGGAAUAGCCUCUGGAAACGGAGAGUAAUACCUUAUACGCCCUUUGGGGAAAGAUUUAUCGCCGAGGGAUCGGCCCGCGUUAGAUUAGAUAGUUGGUGGGGUAACGGCCUACCAAGUCUACGAUCUAUAGCUGGCUUUAGAGGAUGAUCAGCAACACUGGGACUGAGACACGGCCCAGACUCCUACGGGAGGCAGCAGUGGGGAAUCUUGGACAAUGGGCGCAAGCCUGAUCCAGCCAUGCCGCGUGAGUGACGAAGGCCCUAGGGUCGUAAAGCACUUUCGCCAGGGAUGAUAAUGACAGUACCUGGUAAAGAAACCCCGGCUAACUCCGUGCCAGCAGCCGCGGUAAU
RNAcentral lists this ribosomal RNA (449 nucleotides) under uncultured bacterium. Its description in RNAcentral is "bacterial SSU rRNA". It matches the Rfam family "Bacterial small subunit ribosomal RNA", at positions 29 to 524 of the family's 1533-position model. The record is from RNAcentral.